RNAcentral lists this ribosomal RNA (862 nucleotides) under uncultured soil bacterium. RNAcentral's name for it is "bacterial SSU rRNA". It matches the Rfam family "Bacterial small subunit ribosomal RNA", at positions 56 to 945 of the family's 1533-position model. The record is from RNAcentral.
UGCAGUCGAACGAGGGAGCAAUCCCUAGUGGCGAACGGCGGAGUAAGGCAUAAGCAACGUGCCCCGAAGUCUGGGAUAUACAACCGAAAGGCUGGGUAAUACCGGAUGUGAUCACGAUUUGGCAUCUUAUUGUGAUCAAAGGUUUUUCGCUUCGGGAGCGACUUAUGUGCCAUCAGGUAGUUGGUGAGGUAACGGCUCACCAAGCCGACGACGGCUAGGGGGUCUGAGAGGAUGAUCCCCCCGAGUGGGACUGAGACACGGCCCACACACCUACGGGUGGCAGCAGUUUGGAAUCUUGCCCAAUGGGGGAAACCCUGAGGCAGCGACGCCGCGUGGAGGAUGAAGGAUUUAGGUUCGUAAACUCCUUUUGCCAGGAAAGACUUAGGACGGUACCUGGCGAAUAAGCCCCGGCUAACUCCGUGCCAGCAGCCGCGGUAAUACGGAGGGGGCAAGCGUUGUCCGGAUUUACUGGGCGUAAAGGGCGCGUAGGCGGUCUGUUAAGCGUGAUGUGAAAUCUCCAGGGCUCAACCCGGAAACUGCAUUGCGAACUGGCAGACUUGAGGAAGGUAGAGGUAAGUGGAAUUCCUGGUGUAACGGUGACAUGUGUAGAUAUCAGGAGGAACACCGAUGGCGAAGGCAGCUUACUGGGCCUUUCCUGACGCUGAGGCGCGAAAGCGUGGGUAGCAAACAGAAUUAGAUACUCUGGUAGUCCACGCCCUAAACGAUGGAUACUAGGCGUCUGGGGUAUUGACCCCCUAGGUGCCGCAGCUAACGCAUUAAGUAUCCCGCCUGGGGAGUACGGCCGCAAGGUUGAAACUCAAAUGAAUUGACGGGGACCCGCACAAGCGGUGGAGCAUGUGGU